ACGGCUGAAACCCUAGCCGCCUCUUUCAACCUUCUCUCUCUUCGUCAUCGAUAGCCAAAGAUGGCAAAGUUUCAGGCGGCCCUUGCUUUUUGCAAUCAAUGCUACCACGUUUCGGGUAAGAGAAUUAAUUGACUCUCUCAUCUAUUCCCACCGUCGAACUACUAAACAAGGUAUAACCCUUCCCCUUUUUUGUUUUUCUGCAAAUUCGCGGUCAAACAAUGACGAACAUUGAUGAAUCCUUUACAAAUUUCACUUGUCCCACCUGAAAAUUAGGGCAAAAGGUUUCAGAUUUGGGGUUCUAUUUAAAGAACUGCAUAUCUCACUUUAAAACGAAUCCAUUCAUCAAUAUUCAGACACACAAGUCUCAAAAUUAGAGCAAAUAGUUUCAAUAUACAUAGGGAUCUAGAAUUUAGUUGGAACCUUUAAUUUAUUGAGUCUUUUAGUUAAAAAAAUUUAGCUUGCCUUUGUUGUGGCCGAGCUUUGGAGCAAAGAAUCUUCCAACUCUAAUUUCAACUCAAGGCUGCGCACAAAAAAGGUGAUCAUGAUUCGUAGUCAACAAGGAGCAAAUGGAAACCAGGGUGGUCAACAAGACCCUCCGAUUGUAGCAGAGGAUGAGAAUGUAUUUGCUGAUCUGAUAGACGAGGAGGACUAUGCAUAUGCUAUUGUUCAUCCUCGGGUUGGAGCUAUAAGUGUCAACGUUGAUUCCUCUCUCUACCAGUUACUCAAACUUGAGGGCUAUUUUCGGAACUCCACUGAAAAUGAUCCUCAUCAACAUUUGCAGAACUUUGUGGGUGUAUAUGCUCAUCACAUUCAAAAUAAUGUUUCGCAAGAUGCUUUUCGGCUAAGACUCUUCAAAUAUUCUUUAGCCGAAGACGCAAGAGUGUGGUUUGAAAAGCUGCCCCGGAAUUCUAUUACUUCAUGGGCAGAGAUGGUUGCGGUUUUUCUCAAGAAGUGGUAUCCCCCAAGCAAAAAGGCUGAAAUUCUUGACAAAAUUUAUGAGUUCAAUAACGCCAGGGGGAGAAACUAUAUGAAGCUUGGGAGAGAUUUCAAGAAUAUUUGGAGAAGUCUCCAAAUCUUGGUUUUCCGGAGAAUAUAUUGAAGGAGAAAUUUUAUAUAGGGCUAGAUCCUAUAACACAAUCAGUCGCGAACAAUGCAGCUGGUGGGCGUUUCAUGGACAAAAACUUACACCUGAAUCUCUAAUAUGCUUAACAGAUUGAUUACACACAAUCAGGCAUGGCACUCGGGUAAUGCGGAUAGUCUACCGUAUAGGGGUACAAUGAUCCACAGUAUGGUGAAAAAGAAUCAUGAGACACAGUAGACGUUGGCUCAGCUUGCAGCAAAUAUUUCUUUGUUGACUAAGAGGUUUGAUGAGAAGGAGACUAAAAAGGUGAAUGUUUGUGAAGAAGCUCAAGGAAUGCCUAAAGGGAUGUACCAAGUUCAAUAGGGCCCAUAUCUAGAGGGACCUCCUAUGCAGGUGAAGAUGCUAACUAUGUGAACAACUCUCAAGGGGGUUACCAAAGGCAAACUACCAAAGGGGUUAUCAAAAUCAAAAUCAAUGGAGACCUCAGCAGGGACAAGGUACUACAUCAACAACCAGGGGAACGACAAUAAUAAUUAUGGUAGCUCGAACCAAGGGAACUACAACAUCAACUGCAAUUUCGGAAAUAAGAGUUCCAAUCCAUAUAUUCUAUCAAAAGGGCAAUCAAAUGAGCAAGGUAGUUCGUGGUUGGAGGCUAUACUUGAUAAGGUGCUAGCAAAUCAAACCAAGCUUGAGAAGACUUUAUCUAGGCUGACCGAAAUAGUAGGAUCUCAUACGGCUUCCAUUCAGAAGCUCGAGUCGCAGAUGCGUGACAUUUCCAGAGAGCAGCACCCUCCUCAAAAGGGAGGACUUCCUAAUGACACUAUUCUGAAUUCGAAGAAUGGGUGAGGUGGUGUAGACCGUGUUUAUGCUAUCAGUAGUCGAAGUGGUAAAAUACUCCAAGGUGCUGAAAAGAAAGUGAUAGAUCUCGAGCCAGUUGCUGAAGAAGAAGAGGUGCAGUCUGAUGCACCAAUUAUUGUUGAAGAGGUUCCCCCAAAAAUUCCAAUUGUGGAGGAAGUUACUGAUAUUCCAGAGGGUUUGAAGAUGACUAAUGACAAGAGCAAGCAGACUGUAAAGGGGGCUAUCCGCCCUUUGACUCAGCUUUUUAAAUCUAAACCACCCUUUCCUCAAUGGUUGGUGAAGAAGACGGAAGAUGCUAAGUUUCAGAAAUUUUAUGAUCAGCUGAAGCAGUUGUCAUUGAACUUUCCAUUCUUGGAUGUUGUCAAGGAGAUGCCUGAAUUUUUGAAGUAUUUGAAAGAUCUCCUUAUGAAGAAGUGGUUUGUGCAACAUGAAAAUGUGAGUUUGACUCACACUGUGAGUUCUAUUAUUUCUACAACAACAGUCCAGAAGAAGGGAGAUCCUGGGGCAUUCACCAUUCCUUGUUCUAUCGGGCAUCCUGAUUUUGCUCGUGCUCUGUGUGAUAAUGGGGCUAGUAUAAAUUUAAUGACAUUUUUUAUUUAUAAACAAUCAUGAUUGGGGAGGCGUAGGCCGACUAUGCGAUUACAGAUGUCUGACAGAUCUAUUAAGAGGCCGAAUGGCAUGGUUGAUAAUGAUUUUGUGCGGGUUGGUGAUUUUCUGUUGCCCGCAAAUUUUGUGAUUCUUGACUGUGUUGUUGAUCAUGAUAUUCCCAUUAUUCUGGGAAGACCUUUCCUUGCUACGGGAAAGGCUCCUAUGGAUUCGAUAAAGAAUGAAAUAAAAUUCUGAGUCAAUGGUGAAGAGGUGACUUUCCAAGCCAGUAAGGGGAUGAAGUUACCAAGUGCUUAGGAGAGCAUUUCGGUGGUUGAUUAUUUUGAUGUUGUUGAUGAAGCUGUGGAAUUCAAAAUGGAAGAAGAAUGUUCAGGAGAAGCUUUUGCUGCUAUUCUUGUGAAUUUUGAUGCUUAUGACAUGAAGGGCUAUGCGGAGGCGGUGAAUUCGCUUGUUAGGUUGGAUUCAUAUUCUUACCACCCAAAGAAGCUUGAUCUAGAUCUUGAAAAUAGAAAGACACCACCAGCAAAACCAUCCAUUGUUAAGCUGCCUAAGAUUGAGCUUAAGCAGCUGCCUGCACAUCUGAAGUUUGAGUUUCUGGGCCUAGACAACACUUUGCUAGUUAUUGUGUCUGCAUUGUUGAAUGAAAAGCAGACAAAUAGAUUAUUAGAGAUAUUGAGAGAAUACAGGCGUGCUAUAAGCUGGACUAUUGCAGAUAUUCGAGGAAUUCCCUCGGGCAUAUGUGAGCACAAGAUUCAGCUUGAGGAAUAUAGUACAUCGAGUGUUGAGCACCAGCAGAUAUUGAAUUCACCUAUGCAAGAGGUGGUGAAAGUGGAGAUAAUUAAAUGGUUAGAUGCUGGAGUUGUAUAUCCUAUUGCAGACAGCAGGUGGGUAAGCCCGGUACAAUGCGUUUCAAAGAAGGGAGGUAUCACAGUGGUACCCAAUGCUAAAAACGAGCUAAUUCCGACUCGUAUUGUUACUGGGUGGCGUGUUUGCAUGGAUUAUAGGAAGUUGAAUUCAUCCACUUGCAAAGACCAUUUCCCCAUGCCUUUUAUUGAUCAGAUUCUUGUUCGGCUGGCGGCAAGGUCUUACUAUUGCUUCUAGAUGGGUAUUCUGGCUAUAAUCAGAUUAACAUUGCUCUUGAAGACCAGGAGAAGAUGACAUUAACUUGUCCUUAUAGGAUGUUUGCUUUCAGCAGGAUGCCAUUUGGUCUUUGCAAUGCACCAGUUACUUUCUAGAGGUGUAUGAUGUCGAUUUUCUUAUACAUGGUGGAAAGCUUCUUGGAGGUCUUUAUGGAUGAUUUCUCUUUGGUUGGUGACACUUUUGAUGAUUGUCUCGACCAUCUGGGUCGAGUGCUAAAAAGAUGCGAUAAGUCUAAUCUUGUGCUGAAUUGGGAUAAAUGACAUUUUAGGGUGAAGGAAAGGAUCGUUCUCAGUCAUAAACCUCUGAAAAGGGGAUUGAGGCCAAUCAGGAUAAAAUUGAUGUGAUUUCAAAGGUUUCUCCACCCAUCUCAGUUAAAGGUGUCUAGAGUUUCUUGGGACAUGCUGGGUUCCAUAGGCACUUUAUCAAAAAUUUCUCCAAAAUUGUGAAUCCGUUGUGCGAGCUUCUUGAGAAAGAGCCCAAGUCCGAGUUUGAUGAAAAGUGUUGAAAGGCGUUUGAUGAAUUAAAGGAGCGUUUGACUUCUGCUUCCAUUAUUGAUUCUUCUGAUUGGUCACUGUCGUUCGAGCUGGUGUGUGAUGUGAGCGAUUUUACUAUUGGUGAUGUGCUUGGCUAGAGGCACAACAAAAUCAUGCACCCAAUCUACUAUUCCAGUAAAACGUUGAAUGCGACACAGAUGAACUACACAGUGACUGAGCAAGAGUUGCUUGCUAUAGUCUAUGCUUUUGAGAAAUUUCGGGCCUAUUUAUUGGGGUCCAAAGUUGUGGUUUAUACUGAUUAUGCUGCUUUGAGGUAUCUGAUGGCGAAGAAAGAAGCGAAGCCACAGUUGAUUUGAUAGGUCCUGCUGGUACAAGAGUUCGAUUUUGAGGUAAAAGAUCGAAAGGGGGCUGGAAAUUAGGUUGCUGACCAUCUCUCACGGCUUGAAGAAGCUGGUAGACCUUCAGAGGACUUGGAUAUUGAUGAUGAUUUUCUAGCUGAACGGGUUCUAGCAAUGACAGCUGAGGUAGCACCUUGGUAUGCAGACAUCACCAACUUUUUGGUGAAGGGCAUUAUUCCAGAUAAGAUCAAGUCAUACUAGAAGAAGAAGUUUUUGAGAGAUUCUCGUCAGUAUUACUGGGACGAUCCGCAUUUAUUCCGAACAUGCGCUGACAACAUCAUUCGGUGUUGUGUUCCCGAGUGUGAGGUAAUGGAGAUUCUGAAAGCGUAUCAUGACUCUCCGAUUAGGGGUCAUCAUAGUGGGACCUGGAUUGCAGCCAAAGUUAUUGAGUGCGGAUAUUGCUGGCCUACUCUAUUCCAUGAUACAAAUUUGUUGGUAAGGUCUUGUGAUCAGUGCCAAAGAGAAGGGAGUAUUAGUAGGAGGCAGAAGAUGCCUAUGAAUUUCGUGAUGGAAGUUGAGGUUUUUGAUGUUUGGGGAAUUGAUUUCAUGGGGCCUUUUGUGAGCUCAUGUGGCAUGAAAUACAUUUUGGUGGCUGUUUAUUAUGUGUCAAAAUAGGUAGAAGCGGUGGUUUUGCCCAACAAUGAAGCCAAGAGUGUCAUGGGGUUCUUGAAGAAAAACAUAUUCACUCGUUUCGGUACUCCGAGGGCAAUAAUCAGCGAUGGUGGUUCUCAUUUUUGCAAUAGAGUCAGGGCUGAUGGUGAAGUAUGGUGUGAAGCACAUGGUGGCAACCCCUUAUCAUCCUCAGACAAGUGGGUUGGUUGAAGUCUCCAAUCGGGAGAUAAAGAGUAUAUUAGCCAAGACAGUCAAUGCAAAUAGAACCGACUGGCCUCGGAAAUUUGAUGAUGCUCUUUAGGCCUAUCAGACUGCUUACAAAACUCUAAUCGGGACUUCUCCUUUUAGGCUGGUUUUUGGCAAGGCGUGCCAUUUGCCAGUCGAACUUGAGCAUAAGGCCAUGUGGGCCUUGAAGAAGCUAAAUAUAGAUUGGGAAGAAGCAACUAAACUUCAGUUGUUUCAACUGAACGAAAUGGAUGAAUUUCGGUACCAAGCUUAUGAGAGUGCAGCAUUGUAUAAGGAGAGGAUGAAACACUAUCCUAACAAAAAGAUCCUCAAGCAAGAAUUUUACAAGAAUGAUUCUAUCUUGCUAUAUAAUUCCAGACGAAAGCUGCUACAAGGCAAGUUGAAAUCAAAGUGGUCCAGCCCUAUUGAACUAGUAAGUGUUUCACCCAAUGGUUUGAUGGAAUUGAAAACCAUAGAUGGGUCUCGAACGUUCAGAGUGAAGGGCCAGAGGUGAAGCACUAUAAUUAGAUGGUUGAUGGGGAUAGGAUUGUUGACAGGUACCUGUUGAAGCAUCUGGGGACAAAUUCUGACCCGGAGUAUUCCCGCCUGUCACGCGGAUACAGUCUUGACCCGGAAUAAAACUGUACCCCCGUUGUGCCGCGAUGUUAAAUCAAGCGCUUCUUGGGAGGCAACCCAGUUUAAAUUUCUGUAUUUUUCCUUGUUUUGUUUUGUUGUUAUUUUCAGUAGUGUUUCUUGGCUAUAUGAUGUGUGUUGAUUGUGCAGGAGUUGCAAACCUCAGGAAACUGACCAAGUAGCAUCUCAGAGUUGUUUGACGGACCGUCAAAAUUCGACGGUGACGGCGAAGUACAACGACGAGCUGCAAAGCUGGGGGUCCUGAAAGUUGGCAAUUAUCCAUUCUUAGUAAGUUCAAAAAUAAGGACAAUCGACAAACCAUCGUUAUAUUGACGGUUCGUCCUUAUGAUAUCCCAAGUCGUCAACAUGCCUAGGUAAGUCUUCUUGGUUACGAGCUGUACAACAUCGACGGUUCGUCGAAUUACAAAAAAAAAAACGAGCAGAGGAUUUUAAAAUCAUCACAAACCACGCCUUUCCUUCUUCUUCUCCACUUCUCCAUCCAUUAAACUCCCAUCACAAACCCACAAUCUAACCCUCCAUUAACCCACAAAAUUCCCCCAUUACACCUCUUUAAUACAUCACAAUACCUGAACUGAUGACCCUCUGCUCCAAUUUUCAGUAUUCUCUGUGCUUUUCCACUCAACUUCCUAUGUUUUUCUUCGAAAAUCUCUACUAAUCAGGUAUGUAACUUUGUAACACAUCUUCACUUGGUUAUUGAACGUGGGUAUUCGGUUUGGAAAUUGAAAAAGCACCUAGGGUUCCUAAAUUGAUUUAAAAAUUUACAUUGUGGGAAAUAGGUUGUGUUUAUUGGUGAUAAAAUAUGUUAGAGGUAUUCAAAUUGGUUUGGGGGGCUCUGAAAUGUAGUGGUAAACAUGUAUGGGUAGAACUCAUGACAUAGGGUUUGGCAUUUGACUAAGAUUCAUGCUAAUUUUGUAAUUGUUUUGUAAUGGAUUGACAUUAUUGGUUGAGGGUGGGGAAUUUGGUAUGUUUGUUGUAGUUAGGACUCGUGGGGACGAGAAUAUCGUACCUCCAUUGAGGUGGUGGGCAUUUUGAUCCACAUUCGUGCCGAUUCAUUAUGCCCGCCAUCAGUUUGUAAAUGUGGAUGUGUGAAACAUGUCUAAUGUGUGGAUUUGACUGUGUGGAACGUAAUGGAAACAAUGGGAGUGAAGUCUGAGUAACUCCAACAGGUCGGAGGGCAUUUUGAUUGAUAUUGUUAUGCCUGCCAAACAAAACUCGAUAAUAUACCAAUGGACGUAAUUGUGUGAAACAAGUAGGUGAAUUUUGAGUAACCCUAAGCCCCGAACCCUGAAAGCUUGUGCACAUGUGAAAAAUGGAUAUGUGAUGUCUGUGUUUUUUGAAUUGGAAACAUCUUUCAAACCCGCUGCUCUUCAUCUGACAGGGCCAUGAAUAUGCUGACGAUACCAUCAAUAAUCAGACGAAUCAUAUUUGUACCAAGUACUGUAUCGUCGAUUUACUUCACGGUCCGUCAAUAAGUUCGACGGUUCGUCAAAGUACAUCGACGGUUUGCAGAGUCUAAUUUUCAGAGAAAAAAAAAAGUGGCUGAAAUUCCUUUGAUUGACCUUAUGCUGUGCAUAGUGAUGGGAACCUAGUUUAUGAUUGCAGGUAUGGGUCCACCUAAGUUUCCAGCCAAAUGAGGGGGUAGCUCAAAGCAAACAGAGCGAGAAUCUGUAGCAAGCAGGCCAUUAUUAAAUCCAAGUUGACAGAUGAACCCUCGGAAGAUGAACCCGAGGUUGUGCCUUAGAAGAAGAACAGGGCUGUUGUUCAUGUUUGGAACAAGCAGGUCACACCACCAUCUACUUCACCCUUCGGUUCCUCCCAGUCUAAAGAGGAGGGAUUGUUGUCAUCCGGGUCGGGUGACGAAGAUUCAGAAGAGGGUUCAGAGUCUGCAGCUAGAGAUGCUUCACCGAUCUUGUAGCCACCCACUAUUGGGGAUGCUUCACAGGCCUCUCAAUUACCUACCAGGUCUACAAAUCAUCAGAGUUCAUAGCCAGCCGAUGAAUGUGAUGAUGCGGCUAUAGCACGAGAGAUCUGAAGCAAAAAUCUAGAGGAUGACCAGUCCAGAUUUACGGUCGAGGCUGCUAAGGGGCUUUAUGAUCAAGGGGUUGCCUUGAAAAAUUAGGUUAGACCUAGCCCAAAUCAAACAAUAUGGGAGGAACGGCACAUUAGCUUUGAGGGUUUGGAGAUCCUUCCCUGUAACAAAGAGACCAUCGAGCACUACAAGUUGGGUUUUAUGGACAACGCUCUUGGGGAGUAUUUUCCGAUGUUAGUACAAUAGUUGUAUGCAACAUAUAGGGCCUUGAUCAACAAUGUUAGAAAGCUGCGACAGAAACUGAUUAAAAUUAACCCACUGAAUGAGGUUGACGUGCGAGAGUUAAAAGUUGAUAUUUCCGCCGAAGCAAUCAACCGAGUUUAUUUUAAUACUGAGUAUACUGCACCAGGGUGGACAAAUGAGUUGUCUGAUAAACUUGACAGGAGAGAGGAAUAGAUUGUCAAAGAUUGUGUGGCGACAGUGAUUGACUGACCUAGCAAGCGGAAGGAGAAUAUGGCAGGUCGCAGAGGUUACUUAAGCGCUGGUUGACGCUUGAUGGUAAAUUUUGGUGGAGUAUGGUACAAUUGCGACUUCUCCCGACAAAGUACGAUAAUGCACUCACCAUCAACAUAUCGAUUAUAGUGGUUGCUCUAAUGACCAUAUACCCGAUUGAUUUCGAGUUGGCUAUGGAUGAGAUUCAGUUGAAGGCAUCACAGCCUUCUACAUCCUUGAUAUAUCCUUGUCUUAUCACCGAGCUCAUUCGGAGGGCACAUGCCCAUAUCUUACCAUACAUCGAUCACCAGAUUAUGGCCUCACAUGUGUAUAAUUUGAAGAAAAGCAGGGAUGAGGCCCUGAAAGAGGGUCAAGGUGCAAAUGAUGGCUUCCCAGAACUGUUUGAAGGCUUGAAUGAGCCUCAGGAUGAUCAUCAUUCAGGGGCCGCCGGUGACAUUAUGGAGGUGUUACCCGCCACUACUGCCCCUAUUUCUGAGCCUAUCCAAACUAUAUAUCCUGAGCCUCCAUACACAAUUACACCGUGUACAUUAUCGACCCAGAUUCCAAAUUCACAGCCGCAGAGUGCAGCUCCAUAACUAUAGGGUACCGCGGCACAGCCACAAGAUGCAGCCGGAGUUGCUGACCCAUAUAUUUUUUUGCUAGCGAAUUUCAGAGAGUUCGCGAAAAAGGAAGCAAUGAAAAAUAAGAAGUCCAAGAUCAUAGUAAAGUAACUUGACCAGUUUGUAGAACAGAAGAUUACAACUGCUAUGGAGCCACUAAGGCGGGCCACAGAGGCUCGCUUGGAUAUGUUCGAGAUUUGGCUUGCAGCUCUGGAGCUGUCACGUCCGAGAACCACUAUUGAUGUAUUGACUGAGUUGGAGUAGUUGUGAGCUGCAGUACUGACACUGCAGGCUUGUGAUCCGAGCAUAGUAGUGAUUCCGCCCCUUACCAGGACGGAUGUGGUUGAGGACUUGCUUCCGGUAGUACAAUUAUUUGAUGAUGAGGGAGCUCCUGCUGCCACUUUAGCUGCAGAUAUUAAGGAGAAGAGGAAGCGAGCUGUAGAUGAUGAUGAUUCUGGUGAUGAGCUGCGAGAGAGGACUCGACCUCGACGUCAGAGCUUAGAGGAGCAGUAGAUCAAGAAAGCCCCCCUGAACUCUCUGGUUGUGAACUACCCCUGUGGGAUUGCGGGUGCCACAUGUAGUAGUGUUCCAGUCGGAGAGACUCUGAUGCAACCCCUUGUUAUACCAGUGCCAAUACUUGAGAAUACUGAUGCUACUGAUGUUCCAGCUAAUGCCUCGAGAUGAGUAGCACGCCUAGAACGCCAUAGAUUUCGGACGAAACGGGACUUGACUUUUGGGAGAGCAUAAGACGUCAGUAAGAUAUUGGUGAUCCUCCACUGUAGGCUUCACUCUUUGCUACUUCGGAGUACUCCUUCUUGACUCGGAGUCCACUUUUGGUACAGACUCCCUUUUGCUAUGUAUAUUCUGUACAUUUGACUAUUUGGGUACGGCGGGGCCCUGUCUCGCCAUAUGUCUUUGUUUUGAGUUCGUAGAGGCCUGUAGUCAUAUAUGUGGGGGCGAGGGUCCUAUAUAUGUUCGUUUGAUUUUGUUUUCUGGUCUUAAAGCGGUCCGUUUGUUUUGAUGGCCCUGAAUGGCCCUUAUGCUUAUAUUUGCAUUUUUGACCGGCGAUGUCUAUUCCGCCGCGCAGUUUGGA
Lycium barbarum (goji berry) is the source of this 10302-nucleotide long non-coding RNA. RefSeq lists it as uncharacterized. The transcript is spliced from 4 exons. Lineage: Eukaryota; Viridiplantae; Streptophyta; Magnoliopsida; Solanales; Solanaceae. The record is from RefSeq and is a predicted model, not a curated record.